AUCCCUGAUAGACUAUCAGGUUGAUAGGUCGGAGGUGUAAGGAUAGUAAUAUCUUUAGCUGACCGAUACUAAUAGAUCGAGGACUUAAUCUAG
This 93-nucleotide ribosomal RNA is filed under the name Orenia marismortui. RNAcentral describes it as "partial 23S ribosomal RNA". It matches the Rfam family "Bacterial large subunit ribosomal RNA", at positions 2833 to 2925 of the family's 2925-position model. The record is from RNAcentral. Lineage: Bacteria; Bacillati; Bacillota; Clostridia; Halanaerobiales; Halobacteroidaceae.